GCGUGCUUAACACAUGCAAGUCGAGCGGUAAGGCCCUUCGGGGUACACGAGCGGCGAACGGGUGAGUAACACGUGGGUGAUCUGCCUCGUACUUCGGGAUAAGCUCGGGAAACUGGGUCUAAUACCGGAUAUGACCUGCUAGUGCAUGCUGGUGGGUGGAAAGAUUUAUCGGUGCGAGAUGGGCCCGCGGCCUAUCAGCUUGUUGGUGGGGUAAUGGCCCACCAAGGCGACGACGGGUAGCCGACCUGAGAGGGUGACCGGCCACACUGGGACUGAGACACGGCCCAGACUCCUACGGGAGGCAGCAGUGGGGAAUAUUGCACAAUGGGCGGAAGCCUGAUGCAGCGACGCCGCGUGAGGGAUGACGGCCUUCGGGUUGUAAACCUCUUUCGACAGGGACGAAGCGUGAGUGACGGUACCUGUAGAAGAAGCACCGGCCAACUACGUGCCAGCAGCCGCGGUAAUACGUAGGGUGCGAGCGUUGUCCGGAAUUACUGGGCGUAAAGAGCUUGUAGGCGGUUUGUCGCGUCGUCUGUGAAAACUCACAGCUCAACUGUGAGCUUGCAGGCGAUACGGGCAGACUUGAGUACUUCAGGGGAGACUGGAAUUCCUGGUGUAGCGGUGAAAUGCGCAGAUAUCAGGAGGAACACCGGUGGCGAAGGCGGGUCUCUGGGAAGUAACUGACGCUGAGAAGCGAAAGCGUGGGUAGCGAACAGGAUUAGAUACCCUGGUAGUCCACGCCGUAAACGGUGGGUACUAGGUGUGGGUUUCCUUCCACGGGAUCCGUGCCGUAGCUAACGC
Molecule: ribosomal RNA, 801 nt
Filed under: bacterium
Lineage: Bacteria
Description: bacterial SSU rRNA
Rfam family: Bacterial small subunit ribosomal RNA
Source: RNAcentral